This 441-nucleotide unclassified non-coding RNA is filed under the name Hevea brasiliensis (rubber tree). The record is from RNAcentral. Lineage: Eukaryota; Viridiplantae; Streptophyta; Magnoliopsida; Malpighiales; Euphorbiaceae.
CCUCGGUACCGGAAGCGGCUCCGAAACACCAUAAUUAGGAGACCCCAAAUUGAAACUAAGAUCCUUAAUAUCGUCUUCUUCGUUAUCAGAAGAAGGAGAUGAAGAACAAGAAGUAUUAGUAGACGAAAGUAACCGGUCAAGUGAGUCGUGAAAUCGCUCGUCCUCUUCUUCUUCGUCUCUGGUUUUGCUCAUCGUCUUACAGGCAUUCCCAUCUGGGAAAUGAAAAUGCCCCACAAUUACCCCCAGCUUAAUCCAACUGGGGGUGUCUCAAAUUCAAACGAAUACCGUAUUUUCUCUUUCACACAAGCAAUUAAUCAAACACUUGGUGUGCGUUAUGAAAAAAAUGAUGAGAUCGGACAAUAUUGAAAUGGUUUUUUCAGUUCUGUUCAGAUCUACAGAGAGUUAAAAGAAGCUACCAUUGAAGAAGGGGGAGAAAGAGGA